This 468-nucleotide ribosomal RNA is filed under the name uncultured bacterium. RNAcentral describes it as "partial 16S ribosomal RNA". It matches the Rfam family "Bacterial small subunit ribosomal RNA", at positions 28 to 507 of the family's 1533-position model. The record is from RNAcentral.
GACGAACGCUGGCGGCGUGCUUAACACAUGCAAGUCGAACGGAAAGGCCCUGCUUUUGUGGGGUGCUCGAGUGGCGAACGGGUGAGUAACACGUGAGUAACCUGCCCUUGACUUUGGGAUAACUUCAGGAAACUGGGGCUAAUACCGGAUAGGAGCUCCUGCUGCAUGGUGGGGGUUGGAAAGUUUCGGCGGUUGGGGAUGGACUCGCGGCUUAUCAGCUUGUUGGUGGGGUAGUGGCUUACCAAGGCUUUGACGGGUAGCCGGCCUGAGAGGGUGACCGGCCACAUUGGGACUGCGAUACGGCCCAGACUCCUACGGUAGGCAGCAGUGGGGAAUAUUGCACAAUGGGCGGAAGCCUGAUGCAGCAACGCCGCGUGCGGGAUGACGGCCUUCGGGUUGUAAACCGCUUUCGCCUGUGACGAAGCGUGAGUGACGGUAAUGGGUAAAGAAGCACCGGCUAACUACGUG